GUAGGUCUUCAUCCACCACCACUAACUCUACCUCUACUUCUAGUGCUAGUGUCACUUGUGAUACCUCACUAAAGGAUGAGAAUGAGACUCUCAAGAGAGAGGUGGAUAAGCUCACUCACGCCCUAGGCAAGGCCUAUGGUGGUGAGGCCCGCUUGCUAAAGUGCUUGGGUAGCCAAAGGUUUUUUCUCAACAAAGAGGGAUUAGGCUAUACCCCC
This 215-nucleotide long non-coding RNA is filed under the name Sorghum bicolor (sorghum). RNAcentral describes it as "long non-coding RNA (SBIC_LNC001169)". Lineage: Eukaryota; Viridiplantae; Streptophyta; Magnoliopsida; Poales; Poaceae. The record is from RNAcentral.